This 389-nucleotide ribosomal RNA is filed under the name uncultured bacterium. Its description in RNAcentral is "bacterial SSU rRNA". It matches the Rfam family "Bacterial small subunit ribosomal RNA", at positions 28 to 417 of the family's 1533-position model. The record is from RNAcentral.
GACGAACGCUGGCGGCGUGCUUAACACAUGCAAGUCGAGCGGUAAGGCCCCUUCGGGGGUACGACGAGCGGCGAACGGGUGAGUAACACGUGGGUGACCUGCCCUCAGCUCUGGGAUAAGCCUGGGAAACUGGGUCUAAUACCGGAUAUGACUCCAUGACGCAUGUCGUGGGGUGGAAAGCCUUGUGCGGCUGGGGAUGGGCCCGCGGCCUAUCAGCUUGUUGGUGGGGUGAUGGCCUACCAAGGCGACGACGGGUAGCCGGCCUGAGAGGGCGACCGCCCACACUGGGACUGAGACACGGCCCAGACUCCUACGGGAGGCAGCAGUGGGGAAUCUUGCGCAAUGGGCGAAAGCCUGACGCAGCGACGCCGCGUGAGGGAUGACGGCCU